RNAcentral lists this small RNA (744 nucleotides) under Pan troglodytes (chimpanzee). RNAcentral's name for it is "retained intron". The record is from RNAcentral. Lineage: Eukaryota; Metazoa; Chordata; Mammalia; Primates; Hominidae.
GGGGUGGGGUCCCGGGUCUGCUCAGGAGCUGGGGCAUGGGCACUUGGAACGGGGAUUGCUCUCCCGCCCCCACUAUUGUACGGACGACAACGCGGAGGCCUAGCAUUCUCUCCCAGCCUAGAAACUGAUCCCUAGUCAGCCCUCUACCAUCUGUUGAAUGGGAAGCUUAGACCGUGAUCGGGCCGCGACGCCCCGCUUCCAUUAGUGCGCCGAAAUAGAGGGUCACUUCGUCAGCUGAGACCUCCCUUUUCUCCAGGCCACGGGGACAGACCAGGUGGUGGGACUCGGCCUCGUCGCCGUUAGCCUGAUCAUCUUCACCUACUACACCGCCUGGGUGAUUCUCUUGGACUGUUCAUCUCCUACGUGAUGCUGAAGAGCAAGAGAGUGACCAAGAAGGCUCAGUGAAGGUCCCGCAGGGAUGAGGCUGCCAGCCCCUUCUCUGCUUCCCCUCCAGCACAGGGACCAAGUGGGGGAGCCUGCAGAACCUGUCCAGGCACAGUGGCUCCUCAAGCCUGCCUGUCCUGCAGAGUCCCCAUGGCAUGGAGCUUACACCUGACUGACUGGAGCCCCCUCCCCGACUCCCACUUCCAGAAGCUAGGAGGGAGGGAUACCUGGAAGACUCCGGUCACCUCCUUCUUGCUCAGGGCCUAAAAGAUGCUGGUCCUCCCGACCUCACUCUCAGACUCCCUGCCACCUUUUCCCCUGGGUUCUGCCGUCUUGCCUCACUUCCCCUCCUGUCACAUG